UACGAAGGGGGCUAGCGUUGUUCGGAAUCACUGGGCGUAAAGCGCACGUAGGCGGAUUGUUAAGUCGGGGGUGAAAUCCUGGAGCUCAACUCCAGAACUGCCUUCGAUACUGGAAAGCUCGAGUCCGGGAGAGGUGAGUGGAACUGCGAGUGUAGAGGUGAAAUUCGUAGAUAUUCGCAAGAACACCAGUGGCGAAGGCGGCUCACUGGCCCGGUACUGACGCUGAGGUGCGAAAGCGUGGGGAGCAAACAGG
Molecule: ribosomal RNA, 253 nt
Filed under: uncultured bacterium
Lineage: Bacteria
Description: partial 16S ribosomal RNA
Rfam family: Bacterial small subunit ribosomal RNA
Source: RNAcentral